GUGCAGCAUUCCCUCAGCCAGUGCCGUCCCCUUUGUUCCACUCGAGCCUCUGGCGGGGCCGUGUAUUGACAAACCUAGUGACCAGAAGUGGGGUCUCACUGCUACAUUUUCAGCUUGCGGCUGAGAAUGUAGUGGCUGCACUGCACACUUUCAGCCCUGCUGCUCAGCCCCACCUGCACCCAGCAGCUGUGCUGGGGACAAGGAAGGGGCCUCGGGAGUCAUUAGGGCUGUAGGUCUAGGCCUCACCCGGCUUUCCUGCCCCAGCCGUGGCCACUGCCCUCUGCCAGCCAGGCUGGGGCUUGGUCACAUCCUGAGUCACAUGCUUGCAUGAGUAUCGCAAGGGAGGUGCCUGCAUCAUUGACUGAGUCUCGAUUUGUCUUCCAAGAACCAAACCAGCUCAGACCAGUUGGUCUUCUCAGGAUGAUGACGGUCCGGGGCCUCUUUAAAUAGCAUCUUUUAGGGGCCUCCAGGCCUGUGCCUGUGGAGCCUGUUCCCAGCACA
Molecule: long non-coding RNA, 501 nt
Filed under: Homo sapiens (human)
Lineage: Eukaryota; Metazoa; Chordata; Mammalia; Primates; Hominidae
Description: long non-coding RNA NONHSAT179448
Source: RNAcentral